AACCAUUGGUUUGCGCUCACGCACGUACCGCCCUUCGGGCUGUGCUCCGCGGGGGCGCCGGACGACCGGCGACGGCCUCUGGCCUGUAUGGGAGAGCCUUAAUAGGCUUGAAGUUCGGCGAGAUGGGCCCGUAGCUCAGUUGGUUAGAGCACACGCUUGAUAAGCGUGGGGUCGGAAGUUCAAGUCUUCCCGGGCCCACCAUUCGCAUAUGCGAAUGAGGUUUGCUGUAGCGAAUAGUGGUUUGUUUGGGUUUACCUGAUCCUGGCGGUUUGCUGUCAGGUGUUUGCGAUGGUUGGGGCUGUAGCUCAGCUGGGAGAGCACCUGCUUUGCAAGCAGGGGGUCAGCGGUUCGAUCCCGCUCAGCUCCACCAAUUCGCUUGGUGUCGAGACUGAGAGAUAUCCUUUGAAGAAAUAAAAGUUUUGCAUCGGCUUAUGGCUGAUGCGUGUUCUGCAUACAUUGUGAAGAGAAGAUUGAUCUGGAGGCUUCCAGGUGUUUUGGGUUCUGCCCAAGGCGUCCGAGCCCAGUUCCUAUGAAACCAUGGAUGGCCUAGCCGGCCGGAUGUGGUGGAGGGAUUGGAGGUAGGAAGGAAGCUUGUCGCUCUGGGUCGUUGUUGUUUGCUGUCUUUAGGGAUGAGCAUCUGACGGACGACUUGAUUACCGUUGCCUGACCGCGCGGUAUCGGAUCAUAUCUCGAGAAGCUGGUCUUAAGACAGGCUGCAAGCGAGCUGCUCG
This 731-nucleotide transfer RNA is filed under the name Rhizobium leguminosarum. Its description in RNAcentral is "eukaryotic LSU rRNA". The stretch from base 125 to 198 matches the Rfam family "tRNA". The record is from RNAcentral. Lineage: Bacteria; Pseudomonadati; Pseudomonadota; Alphaproteobacteria; Hyphomicrobiales; Rhizobiaceae.